This is a non-coding RNA of Kogia breviceps (pygmy sperm whale), 620 nucleotides long. The record is from RefSeq and is a predicted model, not a curated record. Lineage: Eukaryota; Metazoa; Chordata; Mammalia; Artiodactyla; Physeteridae.
UAUUCUAUUAUAACACUUUGGGGACACUGGAUACAGGUAUCAUAUAAAUGUAAAGAGAAUCUGAUUUUUAGGAAGCCCUAUAUAAUGCAUUUUUAAAACAAAAGCAAUAAAGGUGGUUCUUAUGAAGAAAAGGGCAAAUCCACCAUGUCUGAGUAUGGAAUGCUAAAUAUAAUAUUGCAAGUCUAGGCUCUUGCUAAAGUUAGGAUAUCAAAGCUAAAAAUAGAAAUAUUACACUCUCUAUUUUGUCACCUCAAACUUUCUUUGAAGCCCGAUACUCUUGAUUUUAAGCUUCCCUUUCUUUUUUCCCCUACAUUAUACUCUUAAAAAAAAAAACACACAGCUUUAUUGAAACAUAAUUCACACAUCAUAGAAUUCACCCAUCUAAAGAGUACUAUUCAAAAGUUUUUAGGAUAUUCACAGAGUUGUGCAGCUAUUACCAUUAUCUAAUUUUCGAACAUUUUUAUCACCCCCAAAAGAAACCCAUACUCACUAACUGUCACUCCCCCAUUCCCUCCACCCCCAGGCCUGGGCAACCACUAAUCUACUUUCUGUCUCAUAGAUUUGUUUAUUCUGGACAUUUUACAGAAAUGGAUUCAUGUGGUCUUUUGUGACUGGCUUCC